AUACGGAGGGAGCUAGCGUUGUUCGGAAUUACUGGGCGUAAAGGGCGCGUUGGCGGCCGAUCCAGUCAGGCGUGAAAGCCCCGGGCUCAACCUGGGAAUUGCGUUUGAUACUGAUUGGCUGGAGUCCGGGAGAGGGUAGUGGAAUUCCCAGUGUAGAGGUGAAAUUCGUAGAUAUUGGGAAGAACACCGGUGGCGAAGGCGGCUACCUGGCCCGGUACUGACGCUGAGGCGCGAAAGCUAGGGGAGCAAACGGGAUUAGAAACCCCGGUAGUCC
This 274-nucleotide ribosomal RNA is filed under the name uncultured bacterium. RNAcentral's name for it is "partial 16S ribosomal RNA". It matches the Rfam family "Bacterial small subunit ribosomal RNA", at positions 523 to 796 of the family's 1533-position model. The record is from RNAcentral.